AUAAAGACCAGCCAACACCCUCCAUCCAAGCCAACAGCAACCACCAGCCUGAACAGAGGAAGGGUAUUCUAAAGAAUAAGAUCACAUAUCCUCCUCCACUCACAGACAAAAACAUGAAAAACAAACUUAGGGAGAAGUUAUCGGACUACAACCCAACCACCAUCUCCUCCAGAGUGCCUUCUUUAGCUUCUAAUGAUGGGGGCAACGGCCACAACGUCCUAAUCAAGCCCCCUCAUCAGCUGGCCGUCCCACCACGAGAGCAGGAGAACGGCAUGGCCUUGAAUCUGAGAUCAGGAACUGUUAAUGGCGGCAACCAGUCAGACUCUGACGGCAGUAAUGAAACAUCAAUCUGACCCAGCAGGAAACCUGAGGAACUUCUGCCCUCGUGAGGAGCCUUGACAGUGGGAGGAAGGUGGAAAGUGAAGGUGAAUUACCCAAAGACCCUUCCUAUAGGCGCACAUUGCUCUCCAGUGUCUCCCUGGGGUCCAGGCUCCAUUGGAGAAUAGUAUUACUGCAGACAUCUGCCUGUUAAACGAAUGAUAAGGAAAGAAAAGGGAAUGUAUGUAAAUAUGCAAGACGUGGUCAGCGAGGAUUUACGGAAACUGUGCCAAACCACUAGAUGUGGGACUACAACCCUCCCAGCAUGCCGAAUGGCACGCUCUGACCGAGUGACAGGUGGACUUGAAGAGACACAUAAGACUUUGUGUAAUUUUGUACAUUUUACCAAUAGUGCUUCUUAAAACUGUGCAAUUGUGCACACGAUCACACAAGGCUGGAACUGUGUAGAGACAUUUUCUGGUUACGAAGCAUAAAUUGAAACUGAAAUUUUCACCAAGUGCCCGGCUCGGCCCGUCUUCAUAGAAGAGAUCCGUCUCUUAACUAAUACCUUCCUCAUGUAAUUACUGUGUAGAUGUAUAUUUUUUGUUGUUGUUUUGAAAUUGUAAUAUUUUAAGGCCAUUUGUAUAUUGAAAAGCGUUUUAAUAACAUUUGAUGCAAGAUUAUUUUUAUCCAAUGUGGUUAAAUCAAAAAUGUUUUGUACUUAGUAAAUAAUUUGGGCUUCUAUGGUGCUGUAGUCCCAAAACACAAGACUAAAAGUCUAUUAAAAAUACUGUUCGACUUUAACAAUAUUCAGUGGCGAUGUUUAAUAACGUUUGAACUGUGAAGAAAAACCCCAUAGACUCAAGGAAAUGAAAAUGAAUGUGUUUUAUUUAGUAAUUAAGUGACAGUUCACGGUUCAUAUUCCAAAGAAGCAGCAGUGAAAAAGACUUGCAGGUGUUCGAAAUAAUUUCUUAUCACAAAAGACACUGGAUUUCUUAUGACAUAGCUGUAUUUAUUUUUAUGUUUUGAGACACUGGACAAAAAUUG
This is a long non-coding RNA of Sinocyclocheilus anshuiensis, 1365 nucleotides long. RefSeq lists it as uncharacterized. The record is from RefSeq and is a predicted model, not a curated record. The transcript has 3 exons. NCBI's taxonomy places the organism in Eukaryota, Metazoa, Chordata, Actinopteri, Cypriniformes, Cyprinidae.